This 2907-nucleotide ribosomal RNA is filed under the name wastewater metagenome. RNAcentral's name for it is "bacterial LSU rRNA". It matches the Rfam family "Bacterial large subunit ribosomal RNA". The record is from RNAcentral.
AUAAGGGCGUAUGGGGGAUGCCUAGGCUCUCAGAGGCGAAGAAGGACGUGAUAAGCUGCGAAAAGCUUCGGGUAGCUGCAAAUAAGCGAUAAUCCGGAGAUAUCCGAAUGGGGCAACCCACCAGGUUGAAGGCCUGGUAUCCCGACAAUAGUUGGGAGGCGAACCCGCUGAACUGAAACAUCUAAGUAAGCGGAGGAAAAUAAAACAAUAGUGAUUUCCCAAGUAGUGGCGAGCGAACGGGAAACAGCCCAAACCCACGAUGUUACGGCAUUUUGGGGGUUGUAGGACUGCGACAUUGGACAUAUAUAAUAUAACAGAACACAGCUGGAAAGCUGGACCAUAGAGGGUGAUAGUCCUGUAGGCGAAAUGUUGUAUAUGACAUAGUAGAAUCCUGAGUAAGGCGGGACCGGAGAAAUCCUGUCUGAAUCUGGCGGCACCAUCCGCUAAGGCUAAAUACUACUGAGAGACCGAUAGUGAACCAGUACCGUGAGGGAAAGGUGAAAAGAACCGCGAACAGCGGAGUGAAAUAGACCCUGAAACCAUACGCUUACAAGCGGUCGGAGCGUUGAUUUAUCAAUGUGACGGCGUGCCUUUUGCAUAAUGAGCCUACGAGUUACUCCUCACUGGCAAGGUUAACCCCGUUGACGGGGGCAGCCGAAGCGAAAGCGAGUCUGAAUAGGGCGAUUAUAGUCAGUGGGGGUAGACGCGAAACUUUGUGAUCUACCCAUGGCCAGGUUGAAGUGUAGGUAACACUACAUGGAGGACCGAACCCGUUGUCGUUGAAAAGACUUGGGAUGAGCUGUGGGUAGGGGUGAAAGGCUAAUCAAACUGAGAGAUAGCUCGUACUCCCCGAAAUGCCUUUAGGGGCAGCCUCGCUGUAUAGUGUCAUAGAGGUAGAGCUACUGAUUGGGCUAGGGGGCUUCACCGCCUACCAAACCCUGACAAACUCCGAAUGCUAUGACAUGUUAAGCGGGAGUGAGGGCGUGGGUGCUAAGGUCCACGCCCGAGAGGGAAAGAACCCAGAUCAUCAGCUAAGGUCCCCAAAUAUAUGCUAAGUUGAACAAACGCGGUCUGAUUGCAUAGACAGCUAGGAUGUUGGCUUGGAAGCAGCCAUUCAUUUAAAGAGUGCGUAACAGCUCACUAGUCGAGCGAUCGGGCAUGGAUAAUAACCGGGCAUUAAGCAUAUUACCGAAGCUAUGAAUUUUAACAGUUAAUGUUAGAGUGGUAGGGGAGCAUUCCAGUCAGCGUCGAAGGUAUGUUGUAAAGCAUGCUGGAGCGUCUGGAAAAGCAAAUGUAGGCAUAAGUAACGAUAAUGCGGGCGAGAAACCCGCACACCGGAAGACUAAGGUUUCCUGAUCAACGUUAAUCGGAUCAGGGUUAGUCGGGUCCUAAGGCGACCCUACUGUAGUGGUAGGUUAGUCGAUGGCCAACUGGUUAAUAUUCCAGUACUGACCGGUAUUGCGAUGGAGUGACGGAGUAGUGACAGCAUCGCCCACUGACGGAAUAGUGGGUUGAAGGGGCGUAGGUAAACUUUUUGCAGGCAAAUCCGCAGAGAGUGCCGAACCCUGAUAGUACCGGGCGUUUUCGGACAACCGGAUAGUAUGUGUAAUCAGACUUCCAAGAAAACCUUCUAAGCAUCAGAUACCGGCCACCCGUACCGUAAACCGACACAGGUAGUCGAGGAGAGUAUCCAAAGGUGCUCGAGUGAUCCAUGGCUAAGGAACUAGGCAAAUUAACCCUGUAACUUCGGGAGAAAGGGUCCCUACCAGUGAUGGUAGGGCGCAGAGAAAUGGCCCAGGCGACUGUUUAUCAAAAACACAUGGCUUUGCAAAAUCGUAAGAUGACGUAUAAGGCCUGACACCUGCCCGGUGCUGGAAGGUUAAAAGGAGAUGUUAGUCGCAAGGCGAAGCAUUGAAUUGAAGCCCCAGUAAACGGCGGCCGUAACUAUAACGGUCCUAAGGUAGCGAAAUUCCUUGUCGGGUAAGUUCCGACCUGCACGAAUGGUGUAACGAUCUGGGCACUGUCUCAGCCAUGAGCUCGGUGAAAUUGUAGUAACGGUGAAGAUGCCGUUUACCCGCAACGGGACGGAAAGACCCCGUGCACCUUCACUAUAACUUAACAUUGACAUUGGAUAAACGAUGUGUAGGAUAGGUGGGAGACUGUGAAGCUGGGACGCUAGUUCUGGUGGAGUCAACCUUGAAAUACCACCCUUUGUUUAUUUGAUGCCUAAUCCCGCUAAUGCGGGAGACAUUGUUUGGUGGGUAGUUUGACUGGGGUGGUCGCCUCCAAAAGAGUAACGGAGGCUUCUAAAGGUACCCUCAGUACGGUUGGUAACCGUGCGUAGAGUGCAAUGGCAUAAGGGUGCUUGACUGUGAGACCAACAAGUCGAUCAGGUACGAAAGUAGAGCAUAGUGAUCCGGUGGUUCCGUAUGGAAGGGCCAUCGCUCAAAGGAUAAAAGGUACGCCGGGGAUAACAGGCUGAUCACUCCCAAGAGCUCAUAUCGACGGAGUGGUUUGGCACCUCGAUGUCGGCUCGUCACAUCCUGGGGCUGGAGAAGGUCCCAAGGGUUCGGCUGUUCGCCGAUUAAAGUGGCACGCGAGCUGGGUUCAGAACGUCGCGAGACAGUUCGGUCCCUAUCUGUUGUGGGCGUUGGAAGCUUGAGAGGACCUGACCUUAGUACGAGAGGACCGGGUUGGACAAACCUCUAGUGUACCUGUUGUGGCGCCAGCUGCAUCGCAGGGUAGCUAUGUUUGGUGAAGAUAAGUGCUGAAAGCAUCUAAGCACGAAACUUACCUCAAGAUGAGGCUUCCUUUAAGGGUCCAAGUAGAUUACUUGGUUGAUAGGCUGCAGGUGUAAAGGUGGUAACAUCAAAGCUGAGCAGUACUAAUUACCCGUAAGCUUUCUUC